CAAUAGCGUAUAUUAAAGUUGUUGCGGUUAAAAAGCUCGUAGUUGGAUUUCUGUCGAAGACUGCCGGUCCGCUCUAUGAGCGUGUAUCUGGUUAGGCUUUGGCAUCCUCUUGAAGAACGUUGCUGUGCUUGAUUGCAUGGUGCGGUAUUCAAGACUUUUACUUUGAGGAAAUUAGAGUGUUCACGGCAGGCAAGCGCCUUGAAUAUAUUAGCAUGGAAUAAUAAUAUAGGAUCUUGGUUCUAUUUUGUUGGUUUCUAGAACUAGGAUAAUGAUUAAUUAGGGAUAAUUGGGGGCAUUUGUAUUAACGCGUCAGAGGUGGAAUUCUUUGGAUUAGCGUUACGACAAACUACUGCGAAAGCAUUUGUCCAAGGAAUGUUUUCAUUGAUCAAGAACGAAAGUAUGGGAUCGAAGAUGAUCAGAUACCAU
Molecule: ribosomal RNA, 426 nt
Filed under: uncultured eukaryote
Lineage: Eukaryota
Description: SSU rRNA
Rfam family: Eukaryotic small subunit ribosomal RNA
Source: RNAcentral